This 1355-nucleotide ribosomal RNA is filed under the name uncultured marine eukaryote. RNAcentral's name for it is "SSU rRNA". It matches the Rfam family "Eukaryotic small subunit ribosomal RNA", at positions 411 to 1779 of the family's 1831-position model. The record is from RNAcentral.
CACUUCUAAGGAAGGCAGCAGGCGCGCAAAUUACCCAAUCCUGACUCAGGGAGGUAGUGACAAGAAAUAACAAUAAACCGGCUUAUGCCGGUUUAAUUGGAAUGAGUACAAUUUAAACAUCUUAACGAGGAACAAUUGGAGGGCAAGUCUGGUGCCAGCAGCCGCGGUAAUUCCAGCUCCAAUAGCGUAUACUAAAGUUGUUGCAGUUAAAAAGCUCGUAGUUGGAUUUCUGUGGGGACGGAGCGGCCGGCCGCAACUCGCGGUUCGAGCUAGCGCUUUCCCUACAUCCUGCCGCGAACCGUGCUACCAUUAGUUUGGUGGCGCCGGGGAUCGGCUCGAUUACUUUGAGAAAAAUAGAGUGUUCAAAGCAGGCCACACGCCUUGAAUAAGUUAGCAUGGAAUAAUAACUAAGGACUUCGGUUCUAUUUUGUUGGUGUUCGGGACUGAAGUAAUGAUUGAUAGGGACAGUUGGGGCGGUCUGUAUUCCAAAGCGAGAGGUGAAAUUCUUAGACCUUCGGAAGACAAACAGCUGCGAAAGCGUUCCGCAAGGAUGUUCCCUUUGAUCAAGAACGAAAGUUGGGGGAUCGAAGACGAUCAGAUACCGUCGUAGUCUCAACUAUAAACUAUACCAGCUAGGGAUCGGCCAACGUUAUUUAAACCGACUUGGUCGGCACCUUAUGAGAAAUCAAAGCAUCUGGGUUCCGGGGGGAGUAUGGUCGCAAGGCUGAAACUUAAAGGAAUUGACGGAAGGGCACCACCAGCCGUGGAGCCUGUGGCUUAAUUUGACUCAACACGGGAAAACUUACCAGGUCCAGACAUAGUAAGGAUUGACAGAUUGAUAGCUCUUUCUUGAUUCUGUGGGUGGUGGUGCAUGGCCGUUCUUAGUUGGUGGAGUGAUUUGUCUGGUUAAUUCCGUUAACGAACGAGACCCCAGCCUGCUAAAUAGCGCGCGUGAGCUUUGCUCGCGGCGAGCUUCUUAGAGGGACUAUGAUGCGCGAUAGCACAUGGAAGUUUGGGGCAAUAACAGGUCUGUGAUGCCCUUAGAUGUUCUGGGCCGCACACGGGCUACACUGGCGCCUGCAACGAGCAUAUCAGCUGGCCCGAGAGGGUCUUGGCUAAUCUUUUGAACUGGCGCCGUGCUUGGGAUUGACCUUUGCAAUUGUUGGUCAUGCAACGAGGAAUGCCUUGUAAACGCGAGUCAUCAGCUCGCAUUGAAUACGUCCCUGCCCUUUGUACACACCGCCCGUCGCUCCUACCGAUGAAUGUUCCGAUGAAAUUUUCGGAGAGCACCUGUGAACUUGGCUCCGCCUUGCGAACGGGAGGCUCAAAGUCACUUAAAUCUGAACAUUUCGAGG